AAAGAUUUAGUUUAAAAUUAAAACAUUAGAUUGUCAAACUAAAAAUAUUAAAUUAAUAAUCUUUU
RNAcentral lists this transfer RNA (65 nucleotides) under Parathailocyba orla. RNAcentral describes it as "tRNA-Asp". The record is from RNAcentral. Lineage: Eukaryota; Metazoa; Arthropoda; Insecta; Hemiptera; Cicadellidae.